RNAcentral lists this ribosomal RNA (398 nucleotides) under uncultured bacterium. RNAcentral describes it as "partial 16S ribosomal RNA". It matches the Rfam family "Bacterial small subunit ribosomal RNA", at positions 523 to 918 of the family's 1533-position model. The record is from RNAcentral.
AUACGUAGGGUGCGAGCGUUGUCCGGAAUUACUGGGCGUAAAGAGCUCGUAAGUGGUUUGUCGCGUCGUCUGUGAAAUUCCGGGGCUUGACUCCGGGCGUGCAGGCGAUACGGGCAUAACUUGAGUACUGUAGGGGAGACUGGAAUUCCUGGUGUAGCGGUGAAAUGCGCAGAUAUCAGGAGGAACACCGGUGGCGAAGGCGGGUCUCUGGGCAGUAACUGACGCUGAGGAGCGAAAGCAUGGGUAGCGAACAGGAUUAGAUACCCUAGUAGUCCAUGCCGUAAACGGUGGGCGCUAGGUGUAGGGGUCUUCCACGACUUCUGUGCCGUAGCUAACGCAUUAAGCGCCCCGCCUGGGGAGUACGGCCGCAAGGCUAAAACUCAAAGGAAUUGACGGGG